AACGUAGGGGGCGAGCGUUGUCCGGAAUUACUGGGCGUAAAGGGCGUGUAGGCGGCAAUGCAAGUCAGUCGUGAAACCCGCCGGCUUAACCGGUGGCUGGCGAUUGAAACUGCAUAGCUUGAGUGCAGGAGAGGGAAGUGGAAUUCCCAGUGUAGCGGUGAAAUGCGUAGAUAUUGGGAGGAACACCAGUGGCGAAAGCGGCUUCCUGGCCUGUAACUGACGCUGAGGCGCGAAAGCGUGGGUAGCAAACAGGAUUAGAAACCCCAGUAGUCC
RNAcentral lists this ribosomal RNA (273 nucleotides) under uncultured bacterium. Its description in RNAcentral is "partial 16S ribosomal RNA". It matches the Rfam family "Bacterial small subunit ribosomal RNA", at positions 524 to 796 of the family's 1533-position model. The record is from RNAcentral.